UACAGAGGGUGCGAGCGUUAAUCGGAGUUACUGGGCGUAAAGGGCGCGUAGGUGGUUGUGUGUGAGUGAUGUGAAAGCCCCGGGCUUAACCUGGGAAGUGCAUCGCUAACUGCAUAACUUGAGUAGAUGAGAGGGUAGCGGAAUUUCCGGUGUAGCGGUGAAAUGCGUAGAGAUCGGAAGGAACGUCAAUGGCGAAGGCAGCUACCUGGCAUCAUACUGACACUGAGGCGCGAAAGCGUGGGGAGCGAAC
This 250-nucleotide ribosomal RNA is filed under the name uncultured bacterium. RNAcentral describes it as "partial 16S ribosomal RNA". It matches the Rfam family "Bacterial small subunit ribosomal RNA", at positions 524 to 773 of the family's 1533-position model. The record is from RNAcentral.